UAAACGACUCUCGGCAACGGAUAUCUCGGCUCUCGCAUCGAUGAAGAACGUAGCGAAAUGCGAUACUUGGUGUGAAUUGCAGAAUCCCGCGAACCAUCGAGUCUUUGAACGCAAGUUGCGCCCGAAGCCAUCAGGUUGAGGGCACGUCUGCCUGGGCGUCUCAC
Molecule: ribosomal RNA, 164 nt
Filed under: Camellia octopetala
Lineage: Eukaryota; Viridiplantae; Streptophyta; Magnoliopsida; Ericales; Theaceae
Description: 5.8S ribosomal RNA
Rfam family: 5.8S ribosomal RNA
About the family: 5.8S ribosomal RNA (5.8S rRNA) is a component of the large subunit of the eukaryotic ribosome. It is transcribed by RNA polymerase I as part of the 45S precursor that also contains 18S and 28S rRNA.
Source: RNAcentral